AUGCUCUUUGGAGUAGCAUGGGGUUCUGGGGUUAAGCCACAGAGCCCUGCUUAAAGGAGAGACAGGUGCAUGCACUGGGGACUAUUUAGAAACAGCUCUGGUGGUCUUGUAGGGUCAGAGCCACUAGAAAUUCUGUUUAUUUAUAGAUCUAUAUAUAUAUUGAGUGGUUGCUGGGGACACAUAUAAACCCUUAACUUCUUUAACUUAGCCCUGUGAAGACUGCUGGCCCUGCGCUGCUUUAGCACAAUGAUCAGUUGGCCCUGAAUGAGUUGCAGAAGGCCUUCUCCCUGAUAUAGGUACCUAACUGGGACCUCUGGGAGACUGGUCCCUGACCCAGAGUUUCAGGUGACCUUACUUCCAUUCUUUCAGUGAGAUCAUCUCCCUGCAACAAGGGUUUGGGUUGUGGACCUCAGACUAGGAAAAGUUCUUCCUGCUUAAAUUCAGUGAGCCUCAAACUUUUAAGUUUGUGGAGUCCUAGUGAGACUUAACAGGGAAAAGCCAAAAGCUACUCCUGCAGGGCCAGUGAUCAAGGACAGUUGUGAGAAUUGGUUGCAAAGCUCCAUUACAGAGAAAAUAAUAGCUAUAUCUGGCUUAGUAAAUAAAGGUAGCAGUGCAUUCUGGCUUACAGCAUAGGCCUGAUUUUACCUAGUGUUGGGUGGCCCAGGAAUCAAGGUCAGUAGUAGUUUGAUUCAGGAGUGCGUGAUAUUUGAGGCAGAAAAGGCUAGUAAUUCAAAGCAAUCUAAAGGAGAAUGAUAAUUUUAAAAUACAUAUUCAGUAAGUCUAUGGUCUUAAAAUAGUUGAAAAGAAAGUAACAGGCUUAUGAAUUUCAUUUUUGAAAAGACCAUAAAGUACAAAUUUCUCCAUGACUGACAUCAGAGUGAUACUUGGCUGCCUCUGCUGCUGCUGUCUCUUCUGUCUGACUCCAUUCGCAAUAGCCUUUUCUUCCUAUCCCUGGCUUACCGAGUAAAGUAGAAACUUGCCAUCAGCCCAGGAUUCUGUUUUUGAGGGUAGCCCCAGAGAGGAUGCUCUGUUUUCAUUAAUAAUUUUUACGGCUCUCAAUAUAAAUCCUUUUUAUACUUAUUAUAUUCUGUCUCUUGGGGUAACAAAGUAGUGUACCCAUUAAGUGAACAUAUUCCUUCUAAUUAGUUUAGAGCCCAGCUGCAUUAACCUUGAGGGAUGUUCAGUUACAGUAUUCAAGGUUCUGAACUCCCCAUCAGCCUUUACCUUUUCAUGUUGAAAGCCCAGUUAUUUAAAACUUGUCCUUCCAUUUAAUCUGUUCAUAAUGGCCUUGGGAAGAAAGAGCUGGAAACCUGCAGUCCUUAAUUCCUUUCAGAGCAAAAAGUGGGAAGUCUAGUAAGGCAGACCUUUUAGUCUCUAUAAUAAAAGAAUACCAGUAUCAGUCUCGAAAAAGGAGUGUGUCACUUCAGGGAUUUUUUAAAUCACCUCUCUAAAUCUGCAGUCUUGUGUUAUCUCUCAAAUUUAGGAAAUAGAAAUGUGCAAACUAGAAUAGGGAUUUUUAGGAUGGAAUGAAAACCUAUACCUGUACCUAACCUAGCUCUCUUUCCAAACCGUUUAUAUCAAACACUGUUUUGAAUAUGUACUUGGCCUCUGUUAAAAUGAUGGUUUUAGGAAAGGAGCUAGGUUUGGACAGAAUAGCUAUAUAAAGCCAGGAGUUCUCGUAGUAGUAUUGCUGACAUGACCAGGAAGGACAAGCAGCUUAGCUUCUCAGAUCAAAAACAAGUACCAGUAGUUCCUGCUUAAGGCUGGUAAAUAAUAUCUUGAAAUUCUCAAGUUGGAAACCAGUCUCAAACCCAUUUCUUUGCAAGAAGUUGUAUAUUUAGGGUCAUGGUUAGGCUUUCCAGUCUAGGAGUCCUUACAGUGGUCUGUUUCUUGAUAGCAUGCUUUUACAGUCUGCAUGGUUGUAAUAACGCUUUUGGUAUAGUGAUUGUCUUGAGUACUGCUUGACUCUUGUCUUGAUGCCCACAAAUGGCUAGCGUGCUUGUCUUCCCAUGCAGUAGAAGGAAGACAUUUAAAUGAAAUAGUAGUAUUAGAUAUAUAUGAAAAAGAAAACUGCAAAAUAAAUUUGAAGUUAAUGCUUUCGUCUCUUGUAAGGUAAGGCAUAUACUGCUUGCUUACACAAGAACUAUUGGCAUUUUCUUUUUUUCGUUUGAAACAAAUAUGAAAAAUAGUAUUUUGGUUUUAAGAAAUUUUUAUUUUAGCAUACAACAUAUAACUGACAUUUGUUUUUCUUUUUUGUCUUGUAAACUUAAUUCUUAAAACUUAGGAAAAUUUUUGGAUGGGACAACUUGGUGAUUCAGCUAUAACAGAUCUUAUUUCAAUAAUAACUUUACUGCAGUAUGUAUUCAUACAUUUUCAAAUGUGUGCCUUAGGAAAUCACAAGUGCUUUUAUAGUGUGAAGUGUUAAUGGCUGAAUCCAACUGAAUCACCAACUAGUAAGUGGGGGUCUGGUUGAUGUUCUGGAAUAAUAUUGGGAGAUUGUGAAUUGUGCCAGACAUACCAACUGAACUUUCAUUCAUUAUCAAAGUUUGCAAAACUUCCCAAGCCCCUUAACAUUUAGCACAUUUGAGGAUGUUCGUGAUGCUGAAGACGCUUUACAUAAUUUGGACAGAAAGUGGAUUUGUGGACGGCAGAUUGAAAUACAGUUUGCCCAGGGGGAUCGAAAGACACCAAAUCAGAUGAAAGCCAAGGAAGGGAGGAAUGUGUACAGUUCUUCACGCUAUGAUGAUUAUGACAGAUACAGACGUUCUAGAAGCCGAAGUUAUGAAAGGAGGAGAUCAAGAAGUCGGUCUUUUGAUUACAACUAUAGAAGAUCGUAUAGUCCUAGAAACAGUAGACCGACUGGAAGACCACGGCGUAGCAGAAGCCAUUCCGACAAUGAUAGAUUCAAACACCGAAAUCGAUCUUUUUCAAGAUCUAAAUCCAAUUCAAGAUCACGGUCCAAGUCCCAGCCCAAGAAAGAAAUGAAGGCUAAAUCACGUUCUAGGUCUGCAUCUCACACCAAAACUAGAGGCACCUCUAAAACAGAUUCCAAAACACAUUAUAAGUCUGGCUCAAGAUAUGAAAAGGAAUCAAGGAAAAAAGAACCACCUAGAUCCAAAUCUCAGUCAAGAUCACAGUCUAGGUCUAGGUCAAAAUCUAGAUCAAGGUCUUGGACUAGUCCUAAGUCCAGUGGCCACUGAUAGUAUAAACCAUGGUCAUUUUUAGGCAUGUAUCAUUCAUUUACUCAUAGUUUGGUUUACUUAAAUUAUCAGGAAUACAAUGUUGCAAUGAUGCUUAAAAAACACUUGUUAGUUUUCCCUGUACCAGGCAAUGGUUAUAAUUAAAAUGAUAUGCUGUUGAGAAGCCACUCUUAAGAGUCCAGUUUGUUUAAUGUUAUGGGCAGCUACCAAUUUGUGGUGUCUCUGUAUAUUUUUGUAAAGAUUCUCAUUUUUUAUGCUUGAAGUAUUUGGUGAAAAGAUGUUGGUUGACCAUAAUUUGCAACAUUGUCUCAUUAAAAAUAAACUUUCAUAUUCAUAUUUGGUAGAACUGUUAACCUAGAAAUGUAGCUUGCUAAUAAGAUAGAAUGAUACAAAAGUGAAGUAGUAGCCACAGUACAACACUGACUGCUCAGACACAUUUAGGUUCAGGGUGGACCUUUAUGUCUUGUCAAGAUGUCUAGGCCUGGCUGGGCGCGGUGGCUCACACCUGUAAUCCCAGCACUUUGGGAGGCCGAGGCGGGCGGAUCACGAGGUCAGGAGUUCGAGACCAGCCUGACCAACAUGGUGAAACCCCGUCUCUACUAAAAAUACGAAAAUUAGCCAGGCAUGGUGGCGCAUGCCUGUAAUCUCAGCUACUCAGGAGGCUGAGGCAAGAGAAUCGCUUGAACCUGGGAGGUAGAAGUUGCAGUGAGCCAAAAUCACGCCACUGCACUCCAGCCUGGGCAACAGAGUGAGACUCCGUCUC
RNAcentral lists this small RNA (3963 nucleotides) under Pongo abelii (Sumatran orangutan). RNAcentral describes it as "retained intron". Lineage: Eukaryota; Metazoa; Chordata; Mammalia; Primates; Hominidae. The record is from RNAcentral.